Molecule: long non-coding RNA, 843 nt
Organism: Manis javanica (Malayan pangolin)
Lineage: Eukaryota; Metazoa; Chordata; Mammalia; Pholidota; Manidae
Source: RefSeq, a predicted model, not a curated record
GCUAUGGGAGAUUAGGGGCUGUGUGUUGGGCAUAUUUGAGAUGCUGAUCUAACCUCCAGGUGGAGAUGCCAACUAAGCAGGUGGAAAUAUGAAUCUAGAGUUGAGAGAUGUACAGACUGGAGGUAAAAUUUAGGGAGACGUCCAUGGUAACUACAGACAUAUUUAGCAGUGUGAGGCUGAAUGAGGUCAUAGGGAAGGACUAUUGAGAGAAAAAGAGGUCUGAGGUCUGAGUCUUGAGGCUUUGCUGUGCUUAAGAUGAGGAGGAACCAGCAGGUUUAGAAGGAGUGACAGGAGCAGAAGGGGAUGAUUCAGUGGCCAGCAGAAGACAGGGUUUCAAGGACAAAGAGUGCUUAUUUGUCUGAAUGCUGCUAAGAUCCUGUAAGAGGCCAGUAAGAUGAGUUCAGGUCUAUCUCCCAGCUCACCCAUCCCGUGUUCUCUGUUCUGUGAUGCUGUGGCCUGGCUGUGAGGUUCUGCCAGUAGAGGGAGCUUGAGGCGACUGGAUGGCUGGAGGAGGAAGGGACUUACUCCCUGAUAUUCCUGCUUCUGGUUCCUGCCAGUGUCACCGUGCAAUGGCUCUUUUCCCUGGCGGGCUUGCAUGGUGCUGCCUCACCUAGAAACACUCUGGCAUGAGGGUGAGAAGACAGAGUCCUGAGCUAUCCUCCCAGAAUAUUCCAAAGCCUAGAAAAGACCAGGUCUUCACAAAAGGGACAGGUGGGUUAACAUGAAACCAGGAUGCUUUAUGUUAUGUGGCUAAUUUAUGCUCCACUUAUGAGACAGUCACCUUCUGCUCUGUGUGGACAUGUCUAAGCAGUCACUGCCCCCCAGGGUAUGUAACCUCUUCAG